RNAcentral lists this ribosomal RNA (228 nucleotides) under uncultured bacterium. RNAcentral describes it as "partial 16S ribosomal RNA". It matches the Rfam family "Bacterial small subunit ribosomal RNA", at positions 118 to 345 of the family's 1533-position model. The record is from RNAcentral.
UGAGGAACAUGACCUUCGGCGGGGGAUAGCCGGCCCAACGGCCGGGUAAUACCGCGUACGACCACAUGGGGACAUCCCUGAGUGGUGAAAGCAGCAAUGCGCCGNUGGAGUGCCUCGCGGCCUAUCAGCUAGUUGGUGAGGUAACGGCUCACCAAGGCGACGACGGGCAGCUGGUCUGAGAGGAUGGCCAGCCACAUUGGAACUGAGACACGGUCCAGAUCCUACGGG